Molecule: ribosomal RNA, 497 nt
Filed under: uncultured bacterium
Lineage: Bacteria
Description: partial 16S ribosomal RNA
Rfam family: Bacterial small subunit ribosomal RNA
Source: RNAcentral
GAUGAACGCUGGCGGCGUGCCUAAUAAAUGCAAGUCGAGCGAACAGACGAGGAGCUUGCUCCACUGACGUUAGCGGCGGACGGGUGAGUAACACGUGGAGAACCGACCUAUAAAACAGGGAUAAGUUCGGGAGACCGGAGCGAAUACCGGAUAAUAUAUUUAACCGCAUGGUUCAAUAGUGAAAGACGGGUUUUCUGUCACUUAUAGAUGGUACCGCGCCGCAUUAGCGAGUGGGUAAGGUAACGGCUUACCAAGGCAACGAAGCGUAGCCGACCUGAGAGGGUGGUCCGCCACACUGGAGCUGAGCCGCGGUCCGGACUCCUACGGGAGGCCGCAGCAGGGAAUCUUCCGCACUGGGCGCAAGCCUGACGGAGCAACGCCGCGCGAGUGAUGAAGGUCUUCGGAUCGUACACCUCUGUUAUUAGGGAAGAACAAAUGUGCAAGUAACUCUGCACGUAUUGACGGUACCUCAUCAGAAAGGCACGGCUAACCCCCUG